Molecule: transfer RNA, 47 nt
Filed under: Cercopithecus nictitans martini
Lineage: Eukaryota; Metazoa; Chordata; Mammalia; Primates; Cercopithecidae
Description: partial tRNA-Ala
Source: RNAcentral
UGGUUGAUUUGCGUUCAAUUGAUGCAAAGUGGGUUUUGCAGUCCUUA